Molecule: long non-coding RNA, 2458 nt
Filed under: Fragaria vesca (wild strawberry)
Lineage: Eukaryota; Viridiplantae; Streptophyta; Magnoliopsida; Rosales; Rosaceae
Description: long non-coding RNA (FVES_LNC000368)
Source: RNAcentral
ACCAGUUAUCAUUAUAUACCUCUUCUUGCCGAUCUAGUUUUAUUAUUAGAAAAUUUCAUUUAAGUCACAUUCUCCACAUUUUCUCCCGCACAAGUCCAUCCUGUUUUUUUACCCAGAUAAGUCCACUUUUCUUUCUCAAAUUAUUUCAUCCUGACUAUUUUACCUCUGUACUAAAAAUCUAUCCCUCUCACACACCUCUCUCUCUCCCUCUCCUUUCUCUUUCUGCCUUUCGCUCGACUUCUCUCUCCUUAUUCUUCCACCUCCGAUUCCGACGACGUCGCCGCCGCACACCUCUCUUUCUCUCUCUCAAACAUACGAUGGUCAACCGAGACGGUGGCUCCGCCGUGCUCAAGGACACCGCAACGGCGAUCUUUGCAUCUGCGUGAUCCAUAAAGUUGACGCCGACGAUCUGGAUCUCAACAAUGAUGUGGAUGAUCUAAUCCGGUAGGCAGCGAUGGCCUCGACGAAGAAGGUUUGGUUGAGAGGCACACCGGUCAAGGAGAACGACGUCAAUCUCGGGGAAGGCCUCAACGUCGUCGCUACGUUUAGUCCUAUGGGAUCUCGGAUAUGCCGACCUAACGAGGUGUCCUUCGAUCUCGGAAAUGCAGACCUAGCGAGGCAUCCUUCAUCAUCUCCAAUCAGUCGCGUUCGAUCGUAUUUCUGAUCGGUCAAACGCUGAGGAAUUUCGUGACUCAUCAUCCGCAGUGAGCGAAGACGGGAGCUCCGUCGACGGAGCGACGUCUUUUCUGUCGUCGUCGGCCGCCGGAUCCGAUCUGCAAUUCUCUUGAUUUCCUUUUAUGCUUAAGCUUUAAUCUUCUAAUAAUUGUUUGUUUGUUUUUAUUGGUUGAGUAAAUAUCUUGUAGUAGUUUUUGUCAGUGACAGCAGUAGCUUUUGUUAGUUAGAGUAGUAUUUUUUGUUGGUAACGGUAGUAGCUUAUAUUGAUGGAGGCAAUAGCUUUUAUGUCUGGCAGUAGUAGUUUUUGUAUAUAGGGGUAGUAGCUUUUGUUUAUGUUGGUAAUAGCUUUUGUUUAUGUUGGUAAUAGCUUUUGUUUAUGUCGGUAAUAACUUUUGUUAUGGUGGUAGCUUUUGUAUAUAGGGGUAGUAGCUUUUGUUUAUGUUGGUGGUAGCUUUUGUUUAUCUCGGUAGUAGCUUUUGUUGGUAGCGGUAUGUUGGUAGCGGUGGUAGCGGUAGUAGCUUUUGUAGGCGGUGAUAGUAGCUUUUGUGGCUGAUGAUAGUAUUUUUUGUGUUCGUCGGAAACCUCACAAUAGUAGCUUUUGUAGGCGGUGAUAGUAGCUUUUGUAGCUGGUGGUAGUAGCUUUUGUGGCUGAUGCUAGUAGUUUUUGUGUUCGUCGAAAACCUCACAGUAGUAGCUUUUGUAGGCGGUGGUAGUAGCUUUUGUAGCUUGUGGUAGUAGUUUUUGUGGCUAGUGGUAGUAGCUUUUGUGUUCAUCGGAAACCUCACAGUAGUAUCUUUUGUAGGCGGUGGUAGUAGCUUUUGUAGCUGGUGGUAGUAGCUUUUAUAGCUGGUAGUAGUAAUUUUUGUCAUCGUCGGAAGUCGACCGGAAACCUCGCCGGAGGUCAGUCGGAAAUCUCGCCGGACGUCGGCCGGAAACCUCGCCGGAGGUCCGCCUGAACCCUCGCCGGAGGUCUGCUGGAAAUCUCGCUGGAGGUCCGCCGGAGACUGUUCCGAAAUGAGAGUGGUUGUUGACUUUUUAUACUAGUGGCAUUCUUGUAAAUAUAAGGGAGAAAAUCUAAUUUUUUUUGUUGGAUGGCAGUCUGUAAUUAUGUUGAACUUCAAUACUUAAUACAAAACCUUAUUUAGACUUGGGUGGACUUAUAUGAGUAAAAAUAUUAUGGUGGAUCUAUGUGGGAAAAAUAUCUCAAAGUGGACUUAUAUGUAAUUGGCCCUUUUAUUAUUCCAAAUGGCGCUAAGAGUUUUUAUUUGGAGAGUUUGUCAUAAUAUAUCCUCCCUUCCUUAAGGAAAGAUUGGCAGCAAAGAUGGUUCAAAAUUCAAAUAGUAUCGUAAUCUAAUCUUCACGACUUCACCUUCUGUUACUAAAUAAGUGCUGCAUAUAGUCAUGGCACAUUGAAUCAUGUUUGUUUUAGUCCUCACACAAACCAAGUGUUUGUGACUUGGAGGAUGUAGUACUGUGUUAUCCAAGUUGAGUGGGAUCAAUUUGUUUACUCCGGGGUGUUUGGAAUGAGAGAAACUAUCCGAGUUUGGGAGGAGAAGACGUGCUCUUCCAGAGAUGUUGUAUUGAAGGCUACAAGCCUACAAUAGCAUUUCAAUUUAUGCAAAAGUUCCAUGUUCUCAGAGAAAUGGAAGCCUCCAUCACCUGGCCUAUUGAAAAUAUAUAUAGAUGGUGCGUUUAAUCACACCACUACUGCUGGAGGUAUCUCUGCUUUGUAACAGUAUAAUCUCUAUUCUUACUAAAAAAAAAAUAAAAAAAUAUAAAAAAA